Molecule: small nuclear RNA, 113 nt
Organism: Lagopus muta (rock ptarmigan)
Lineage: Eukaryota; Metazoa; Chordata; Aves; Galliformes; Phasianidae
Product: U5 spliceosomal RNA
Exons: 1
Source: RefSeq, a predicted model, not a curated record
AUAUUCUGGAUUCUCUUCAGAUCAUACAUCUUUUGCCCCUUACCAAAGAUUUCUAUGGAGAGGAACAAGCAUAAGUGUCUUGGAAUUUUCGGAGGCUUCUUGGUGGAGAGUUU